AGUGAACGCUGGCGGUAGGCCUAACACAUGCAAGUCGAACGGCAGCACAGUAAGAGCUUGCUCUUACGGGUGGCGAGUGGCGGACGGGUGAGGAAUACAUCGGAAUCUACUUUUUCGUGGGGGAUAACGUAGGGAAACUUACGCUAAUACCGCAUACGACCUACGGGUGAAAGCAGGGGAUCUUCGGACCUUGCGCGAUUGAAUGAGCCGAUGUCGGAUUAGCUAGUUGGCGGGGUAAAGGCCCACCAAGGCGACGAUCCGUAGCUGGUCUGAGAGGAUGAUCAGCCACACUGGAACUGAGACACGGUCCAGACUCCUACGGGAGGCAGCAGUGGGGAAUAUUGGACAAUGGGCGCAAGCCUGAUCCAGCCAUACCGCGUGGGUGAAAAAGGCCUUCGGGCUGUAAAGCCCUUUUGUUGGGAAAGAAAAGCAGCAGGUUAAUACCCCGCUGUUCUGACGGUACCCAAAGAAUAAGCACCGGCUAACUUCGUG
This 492-nucleotide ribosomal RNA is filed under the name uncultured bacterium. RNAcentral's name for it is "partial 16S ribosomal RNA". It matches the Rfam family "Bacterial small subunit ribosomal RNA", at positions 29 to 507 of the family's 1533-position model. The record is from RNAcentral.